RNAcentral lists this ribosomal RNA (161 nucleotides) under uncultured bacterium. Its description in RNAcentral is "partial 16S ribosomal RNA". It matches the Rfam family "Bacterial small subunit ribosomal RNA", at positions 1340 to 1500 of the family's 1533-position model. The record is from RNAcentral.
AAUCGCGAAUCAGAAUGUCGCGGUGAAUACGUUCCCGGGCCUUGUACACACCGCCCGUCACACCAUGAGAGUCGAUAACACCCGAAGCCUGUGAGCUAACCUUAGGGGAGCAGCAGUCGAAGGUGGGGUUGAUGAUUAGGGUGAAGUCGUAACAAGGUAGC